CGCGGGGUGGAGCAGAGGCAGCUCGCGUGGCUCAUAACCACGAGGCCGUGGGUUCGAAUCCCACCCCCGCUACCA
RNAcentral lists this transfer RNA (75 nucleotides) under Candidatus Jacksonbacteria bacterium RIFCSPHIGHO2_12_FULL_44_12. Its description in RNAcentral is "tRNA-Met". It matches the Rfam family "tRNA". From Rfam's summary of the family: Transfer RNA (tRNA) molecules are approximately 80 nucleotides in length. RNAcentral also lists the same sequence under 3 other names. The record is from RNAcentral. Lineage: Bacteria; Candidatus Jacksoniibacteriota.